GCGGCUUAAUUUGACUCAACGCAGGGUAAUUUACCAGGUAUAACAUGAUAUAAUAUUUUAUCAUGAUAGUGGUGCAUGGCCGUUUCCAAUGGAUGCUGUGAAGUAAUGAUUAAUUUCAACAAGAUGUGAGACCCUCAUUUAGACAGAUGUAGUGAUACAUAUGAAGGAGAGGAUUAAAACAGGUCCGUUAUGCCCUAAGAUAAUCUGGGUUGCACGCGCAAUACAAUAAUAUUUGAUAUUAUAAGGGAUAAUAUAAUGUAAGAUAUAUUUGAACAUGGAAUUGCUAGUAAAUUUUAUUUAAUAAGUAGAAUUGAAUGAGUCCCUGUUCUUUGUACACACCGCCCGUCGCUAUCUAAGAUGGUAUUAUCUAUGAACAAAUUUAUAAAGUGAAUAGAUAGUACUAGAUCUGAUAUAAGUCGUAACAUGGUUGCUGUUGGAGAACCAUUAGCAGGAUCAUAA
This 459-nucleotide ribosomal RNA is filed under the name Nosema bombycis. RNAcentral's name for it is "SSU rRNA". It matches the Rfam family "Microsporidia small subunit ribosomal RNA", at positions 819 to 1311 of the family's 1311-position model. Lineage: Eukaryota; Fungi; Microsporidia; Nosematidae. The record is from RNAcentral.